UACGAAGGGAGCUAGCGUUGUUCGGAAUCACUGGGCGUAAAGCGCACGUAGGCGGCUGUGUCAUUCAGGGGUGAAAUCCCGGAGCUCAACUUCGGAACUGCCUUUGAUACAGCACGUCUUGAGUCCGAUAGAGGUGGGUGGAAUUCCUAGUGUAGAGGUGAAAUUCGUAGAUAUUAGGAAGAACACCGGUGGCGAAGGCGGCCCACUGGAUCGGUACUGACGCUGAGGUGCGAAAGCGUGGGGAGCAAACAGG
RNAcentral lists this ribosomal RNA (253 nucleotides) under uncultured bacterium. Its description in RNAcentral is "partial 16S ribosomal RNA". It matches the Rfam family "Bacterial small subunit ribosomal RNA", at positions 524 to 776 of the family's 1533-position model. The record is from RNAcentral.